Long non-coding RNA from Bactrocera neohumeralis, 1258 nucleotides. RefSeq lists it as uncharacterized. Lineage: Eukaryota; Metazoa; Arthropoda; Insecta; Diptera; Tephritidae. The record is from RefSeq and is a predicted model, not a curated record. The transcript has 3 exons.
GACCAAAAGAGAAAUGCUUCAUAGCCAGCGAAUAUCUGCAUGCAGCGGAGUCACGCGGGCCAACAGACAGAUGGACAGACAAGCAGACAGACAAACAGACAGACGAAUGGACAAAUCAACAGAUAGUCAAGUGAGUGUGGCAAGCCGAGUGACAGCCAAGAAAUGGCAGUGGCAGCAACAGCAGCAGUCGCAGCUGGAAUGUGGCACAUUCACAUGAACAUAACGACCAUCAGCGGCAGCCCAGUGCGCACGAACGUAUGGACAUAUGAGCUUACGGACGGUCAACGACCAGCUGCGAGAUUUGCGUAAUCACAAUGAAUGCAAACGUGGCGUAAGCAACAACAACAACAGCCAUUGCAACCAAGUUAAAAGCCAUGUAUUAACGAGCCUAUGAAAGCGUUAAAGAUUGGCAGCCACAUGUGCGAGCACCAAUGAAGGCGCUCAUGAAAAUCAAUAAGGAUGACAAAAAUGCAAAAUUGUAAAGAACCUUGACAAUUUGUUGUUUUGCAACAAGAAGAACUUACAUUUGCCAAGCACAUGUUGACAUAGCGGCUACCCAUUGGCAUGCAUUGUUGUUGCGAUUUUUGUUUGCUGGAAAAUGCUCGGUGCUUGGGAAUGGUUUGACAAACGAAACAAUUAGUCACAUUUGGGAAGUCGUGAGGAAUUAACUGCAGGCUGCAGUUCUACAUUCAUUGGUCCAGCAUGAGGGAUUUAGUUUUUAAUUCAAUGUGAAUAAAGCAGAAAAGGAGCGUUAAAAUAUUUCUCAUUAAGUUUGGACUGACAUAACCAAAGAAACAUUUACUUAUUAUAUAUAUGUAUAUACCUACAAAUGAGUACUAGUGAAAAGCCGAGAAGCGGAAAUAAUAGGAUUUUAAGUAAAACGCGAAAAUUUAGAAAUAUUUUUCGUGUAAUUGUGAAAUGAAUAUUCUUUGUAAAUAUUCCGUUAAUAUUUGCGUAUAAAAAUAAUAGCCUGUUUAUAUAUUUGUUUAAAAAACUCAGGUGAUACACUCAAUGGCAUUUUUUUUAAUAGAGGCAAAUAACUUUAGUGGCUAAAAGUGCUGAUUUCCAUUAAGGAGUAACGCUUUCUAAGAUUUUUAUCGACAUAGAAAAGAGACACCAAAAAUAUUUUUAACUCGAAAUGGCUUUGAGGUGUUUACUUAGCAGAAGUAAUUAAAAAGUCCAAUCGGCUCGCAAAAUUUUAUUAUAAAUAAAUAUUAAAUAUUUAACAUAUUAGUAAUUAAAUAAAACAUAGAAAUUA